RNAcentral lists this non-coding RNA (29 nucleotides) under Bombyx mori (domestic silkworm). The record is from RNAcentral. Lineage: Eukaryota; Metazoa; Arthropoda; Insecta; Lepidoptera; Bombycidae.
UAAUACUUUACUACAUAAGGUUACUCCGC